CUUCCAGGAAAAGCCUCUAAGCUUCAGAUUGUAAGGAAUCGUACCCCAAACCGACACAGGUGGUCGGGUAGAGAAUACCAAGGCGCUUGAGAGAACUCGGGUGAAGGAACUAGGCAAAAUGGUACCGUAACUUCGGGAGAAGGUACGCUCUCGACGGUGAAGUCCCUCGCGGAUGGAGCUAUUGAGAGUCGCAGAUACCAGGUGGCUGCAACUGUUUAUUAAAAACACAGCACUGUGCAAAAUCGUAAGAUGACGUAUACGGUGUGACGCCUGCCCGGUGCCGGAAGGUUAAUUGAUGGGGUUAGACUUCGGUCGAAGCUCUUGAUCGAAGCCCCGGUAAACGGCGGCCGUAACUAUAACGGUCCUAAGGUAGCGAAAUUCCUUGUCGGGUAAGUUCCGACCUGCACGAAUGGCGUAAUGAUGGCCACGCUGUCUCCACCCGAGACUCAGUGAAAUUGAAAUCGCUGUGAAGAUGCAGUGUACCCGCGGCUAGACGGAAAGACCCCGUGAACCUUUACUACAGCUUGGCACUGAACAUUGACCCUACAUGUGUAGGAUAGGUGGGAGGCUUUGAAGCACGUACGCCAGUAUGUGUGGAGCCGUCCUUGAAAUACCACCCUUGUAGUGUUGAUGUUCUAACGUCGACCCCUUAUCGGGGUUGCGGACAGUGCCUGGUGGGUAGUUUGACUGGGGCGGUCUCCUCCCAAAGAGUAACGGAGGAGCACGAAGGUGGGCUAAUCACGGUUGGACAUCGUGAGGUUAGUGCAAUGGCAUAAGCCCGCUUGACUGCGAGAAUGACAAUUCGAGCAGGUGCGAAAGCAGGUCAUAGUGAUCCGGUGGUUCUGAAUGGAAGGGCCAUCGCUCAACGGAUAAAAGGUACUCCGGGGAUAACAGGCUGAUACCGCCCAAGAGUUCAUAUCGACGGCGGUGUUUGGCACCUCGAUGUCGGCUCAUCACAUCCUGGGGCUGAAGUCGGUCCCAAGGGUAUGGCUGUUCGCCAUUUAAAGUGGUACGCGAGCUGGGUUUAGAACGUCGUGAGACAGUUCGGUCCCUAUCUGCCGUGGGCGUUGGAAGAUUGAAGGGGGCUGCUCCUAGUACGAGAGGACCGGAGUGGACGAACCUCUGGUGUUCGGGUUGUGUCGCCAGACGCAUUGCCCGGUAGCUAAGUUCGGAAUCGAUAACCGCUGAAAGCAUCUAAGCGGGAAGCGAGCCCUGAGAUGAGUCUUCCCUGAUACUUUAAGUAUCCUAAAGGGUUGUCGGAGACUACGACGUUGAUAGGUCAGGUGUGUAAGUGCUGUGAGGCAUUGAGCUAACUGAUACUAAUUGCCCGU
RNAcentral lists this ribosomal RNA (1331 nucleotides) under Vibrio parahaemolyticus. RNAcentral's name for it is "partial 23S ribosomal RNA". It matches the Rfam family "Bacterial large subunit ribosomal RNA", at positions 1605 to 2912 of the family's 2925-position model. Lineage: Bacteria; Pseudomonadati; Pseudomonadota; Gammaproteobacteria; Vibrionales; Vibrionaceae. The record is from RNAcentral.